This 77-nucleotide transfer RNA is filed under the name Actinomadura bangladeshensis. RNAcentral's name for it is "tRNA-Pro". It matches the Rfam family "tRNA". Rfam says of the family: Transfer RNA (tRNA) molecules are approximately 80 nucleotides in length. The record is from RNAcentral. RNAcentral also lists the same sequence under 2 other names. Lineage: Bacteria; Bacillati; Actinomycetota; Actinomycetes; Streptosporangiales; Thermomonosporaceae.
CGGGACGUGGCGCAGUUUGGUAGCGCACUUGACUGGGGGUCAAGGGGUCGUGGGUUCAAAUCCCGCCGUCCCGACAA